RNAcentral lists this ribosomal RNA (339 nucleotides) under uncultured bacterium. RNAcentral's name for it is "bacterial SSU rRNA". It matches the Rfam family "Bacterial small subunit ribosomal RNA", at positions 10 to 351 of the family's 1533-position model. The record is from RNAcentral.
AGUUUGAUCCUGGCUCAGAUUGAACGCUGGCGGCAGGCCUAACACAUGCAAGUCGAACGGUAACAUUUCUAGCUUGCUAGAAGAUGACGAGUGGCGGACGGGUGAGUAAUGCUUGGGAACUUGCCUUUGCGAGGGGGAUAACAGUUGGAAACGACUGCUAAUACCGCAUAAUGUCUUCGGACCAAACGGGGCUUCGGCUCCGGCGCAAAGAGAGGCCCAAGUGAGAUUAGCUAGUUGGUAAGGUAACGGCUUACCAAGGCGACGAUCUCUAGCUGUUCUGAGAGGAAGAUCAAGCCACACUGGGACUGANACACCGGCCCAGACUCCUACGGGAGGCAG